This 690-nucleotide long non-coding RNA is filed under the name Homo sapiens (human). RNAcentral's name for it is "HSALNT0009006". The record is from RNAcentral. Lineage: Eukaryota; Metazoa; Chordata; Mammalia; Primates; Hominidae.
GAAAAACCAGGCCAAACUCAGCUGACACCCAUGGAGGGAGGAUUUAAACCAGCCCUAGCCAGCGGGGAAUUGCUGAUCCCAGCAGUCUACACGUGAGUGCCCACAAACCUCACCACCUAGUGCCAGAGUGCUCUGGAUAUUUAAGGAAACUUGAAAGGAAGUCUAAGCCAUAAGGACUGCAAUUUGUAGGUGAGUCCUAGGGGCAAACUAGGCCCAGAGACAGUGGAGUGGCUGGGGGCACGCAACAUACUGAAAUACCAGCUACUGCAGCCAAGAGUUUCCUUCCUUCCACUUGAAGAAAGGAGAAGGAAGAGUGGGGAGAACUUUGUCUUGCAGCUUGGAUACCAUUUCAGCCACAGCAGGAUAGGGCACUAGUAAGAGUAAUUAGGCUGCCAUUCUAGGCCUUAGCUCCCAGACAACAUCUCUAGAAUAACCCUGAACCGGAAGGGAACCUGCUGCCUUGAAGAAAGGACCCAGUUUUGUCAGCAUUUAUCACGUGCUAACUGAAGAGCCCUUGGGCCCUGAAUAAACCAACAGUGAAACCCAGCUACUACAUCAUGGUCCUUGGGUACCAGUACUGCUACAGGUGGGUAGAGCACCAAGCAGGCUCUUGGGGUUCCUGAUUCCAGACUUGACACUUGGACAUCACAUCUGGACCUGCCUUCGGCCAGAGGGGAACCCACUGCCCUG